Molecule: transfer RNA, 100 nt
Filed under: Synechocystis sp. FACHB-383
Lineage: Bacteria; Bacillati; Cyanobacteriota; Cyanophyceae; Synechococcales; Merismopediaceae
Description: tRNA-Leu
Source: RNAcentral
GCCUCAGGAUUUAGGUUUUGCGGUGGUUACAAGAUUUUGAUAUUAUCUUUAGGUCUGAUUCGUAAUCAGUUGGUCGUGGGUUCAAAUCCCAUCUUCGGCU